GACGAACGCUGGCGGCGUGCUUAACACAUGCAAGUCGAACGGAAAGGCCCUGCUUUUGUGGGGUGCUCGAGUGGCGAACGGGUGAGUAACACGUGAGUAACCUGCCCUUGACUUUGGGAUAACUUCAGGAAACUGGGGCUAAUACCGGAUAGGAGCUCCUGCUGCAUGGUGGGGGUUGGAAAGUUUCGGCGGUUGGGGCUGGACUCGCGGCUUAUCAGCUUGUUGGUGGGGUAGUGGCUUACCAAGGCUUUGACGGGUAGCCGGACUGAGAGGGUGACCGGCCACAUUGGGACUGCGAUACGGCCCAGACUCCUACGGGAGGCAGCAGUGGGGAAUAUUGCACAAUGGGCGGAAGCCUGAUGCAGCAACGCCGCGUGCGGGAUGACGGCCUUCGGGUUGUAAACCGCUUUCGCCUGUGACGAAGCGUGAGUGACGGUAAUGGGUAAAGAAGCACCGGCUAACUACGUG
Molecule: ribosomal RNA, 468 nt
Filed under: uncultured bacterium
Lineage: Bacteria
Description: partial 16S ribosomal RNA
Rfam family: Bacterial small subunit ribosomal RNA
Source: RNAcentral